AGGAAGAUGCGUCGAUGAGGAAGAGGAGGGGCGGAUCUGUAAGCAGAGUCAGAGUCAGCUCAACUUGUGUCUUGCAGAGCAGAGAAGAAGAGCAGCAGACCUGUAUCAGCUCCGGUCCUUGUUGCUAAAUCAGGGAGAAGCUGCGCGCCGGCUCCAUAUCUCUACUCCCUGUUGACUGCACUCUACAGGACGAGUGGGACGACCUAUAGCAGGGUGAGUCCUGAGUCCAGGUCCUCACUGAAAACAAGCGGCAGCAGAGGAGAGGAAUACAGACGGUCCUGUGAUCGCCCGCGUCAUGCCCCUGAUGUUCCUGGACUGGUUCGUACCCGUUUACCUGCUGGUGUCGGUGCUGGUGCUGGUCGGGUUCGGCGCCUGCCUCUACUUCCUGGAGCCGGGCCUGCAGGACCCCCACAAGUGGAGCAACAAGUCUGUGCAGCACCCCCCUCUGACCGUCGCCAGGAACGGCAAGGAGGAGGAAGGCAAGGUGCUGACAUGACGAAGGACAAAGAAAAAACAAGGGAAAGAGAGAGAGUCUAAACUCUCAUCUUCUCAGCUGUUGGAGUUGGUACAGUAUACUGUGCUGUAGCAUAGAAUUCUGGAGUUAAAGGUAGAGUCUGCAAUUCUAAGAUAAUAGACUUGGUCUUAAAACUCCUCGCGCUCCUUUAGCAUGUCCAUUCAAUGUUUGCACUAAAACAGCUCCUGUGUAAGUACACCCAGCCCCAGGUCUGUAACAAACAUGGCCCAGACAAAGCCAUGAACAAUUCCAGCCAAUCAACAUGUUGCUUCAGAAGCAAGAGGUGAUUGACUGUUGAGCUUGAAUGUCAACAACCCUCCGCCAGAAUCGCAGACUGUACCUUUAAUUAAUACCUGUUUGUUUCUCUUGUACGAGAGAGGUGGUCAUGAAACAUAUGAUUUAAAGAAAUGUUGCUGACUUCCCAGGAUUUUAUAGUUAACAUCAGCCUAAAUAAUUAACAUUCAGAGACAUUUUUGGCCUUAGUAAUUCAAGAGGAGGUCUUAAGUAAAUAACAUUUGUGAGACUGAUGAUUCCAGUUCUUAAAUCCUACUUUGUAGUGUUUUUGACAAAAAGCCAUGAAAUUGCAAAUGUGAAAGUUCAGAGGUCAAUCCUCAGUAUGCACUUUAGAAUAUACAUAACAUAUAUGACCGUCUGUCUGUGAAUUUUAGAUUGAAUGGAUAUGAACCUUUUGAAUCAUCGAUAAGUUGAAUGCCAAAUAUUGUGUUGGUGCAAAACCAUUGUUUUGUGAGUGCCAAAUGCAUUGUGGGUCACGCUGAUACUGUUACUUCCUUAACUCUUUUAGAUCGACAGUAAAAGUUAUUUAAUCUCUGCAAUAAUGAAGUGUGUGUGUGAAUUGUAAAUUAG
Long non-coding RNA from Alosa sapidissima (American shad), 1378 nucleotides. RefSeq lists it as uncharacterized. Lineage: Eukaryota; Metazoa; Chordata; Actinopteri; Clupeiformes; Clupeidae. The record is from RefSeq and is a predicted model, not a curated record. The transcript is spliced from 2 exons.